AAGGAGAUAAGCUCCAAAGCUUCCACAACUUUUCAUUGCCAAGCUUCAAUUUCCUCAAAACAGCUUAAAGAUAGGGACUUCUAACUAGCUUGAAAGAAUCGCAUAAACUAAAUACCUUGUGAAGGUUAUAAAACAAAACAAAAAAGCUAUGAACUAGUGAAAAAUUAUAAUACCUAUGACCAUCAUGCUUCGUAGGGCACUCUCCAGUUACUCCAAAUGAGUAGUGCAAGAAGAAGUGUGUCAUCGUGACAGUGACACCAGAGUACUUCUGAACUUGGGGCGGAAAACUUCUCGAAUGGCAGGCAUGUCUCUACACUGAGCGAGCACGUGAGUAGUGGAUUCCGUCCAGAUUUCUCUCCUGGAUCUGCGAGUGGAGCCUCUUCUCUGCUAAGUCGCCGCGUGCCUUGAGCGCCACCAUGAAAAGUCUGAGCGUUUGGCUGCCGGUUUGCUCGUAGCGCUCAAGAGCAAAGGUUGUUCUCGGCAUAUCCCAGGAAAUGAUGUUUUGCUGCUCCAUACAAAGUCUCAGCGUUUGGAGGCAGGCCAGCUUCUCCUUGCAUCUGAUAGAAGACGUGCAUGUUCCAUGAUGAUCGUGUUCCAGGCAACCAACGUCAUGUUUAUUUGUCCUCCUCAACACUUCUGAUGCUUCCACAUGUCCAUGAGGCUGCUUGCGACGAAUGCAUCGGCUUUGUAUUCACAAUUUGCGAGGUAGCCCAACCUAUCCUGUUCUU
Molecule: long non-coding RNA, 728 nt
Filed under: Selaginella moellendorffii
Lineage: Eukaryota; Viridiplantae; Streptophyta; Lycopodiopsida; Selaginellales; Selaginellaceae
Description: long non-coding RNA (SMOE_LNC000701)
Source: RNAcentral